Molecule: non-coding RNA, 78 nt
Filed under: unclassified sequences
Description: DUF3085 RNA
Rfam family: DUF3085 RNA
Source: RNAcentral
CGGUAGCUGGACCCACCGGGCUCGUCAGAGCCGAACCCAGCCUUCCCUGUCCGUUCAGGACAUACAACCCACCACGGG